CCUACGGGAGGCAGCAGUAGGGAAUCUUUCACAAUGGGCGGAAGCCUGAUGGAGCAACGCCGCGUGCAGGAUGAAGGCCUUCGGGUUGUAAACUGCUUUUAUAAGCGAGAAAUAUGAUGGUAACUUAUGAAUAAGGAUCGGCUAACUACGUGCCAGCAGCCGCGGUCAUACGUAGGAUCCGAGCAUUAUCCGGAGUGACUGGGUGUAAAGAGUUGCGUAGGUGGGAUAAUAAGUAGCGAGUGAAAUCUGGUGGCUCAACCAUUCAGACUAUUAGCUAAACUGUUAAGCUCGAGACCGUUAGGGGUAAGUGGAAUGUCUGGUGUAGGGGUGAAAUGCGUAGAUAUCAGAAGGAACACCAAUUGCGAAGGCAGGUGGCUGGGACGGUUCUGACGCUGAGGCACGAAAGCGUAGGGAGCAAACGGGAUUAGAUACCCCAGUAGUC
Molecule: ribosomal RNA, 442 nt
Filed under: uncultured bacterium
Lineage: Bacteria
Description: partial 16S ribosomal RNA
Rfam family: Bacterial small subunit ribosomal RNA
Source: RNAcentral